This 379-nucleotide ribosomal RNA is filed under the name uncultured eukaryote. RNAcentral's name for it is "partial 18S ribosomal RNA". It matches the Rfam family "Eukaryotic small subunit ribosomal RNA", at positions 592 to 976 of the family's 1831-position model. The record is from RNAcentral.
CAAUAGCGUAUAUUAAAGUUGUUGCGGUAAAAAAGCUCGUAGUUGGAUUUCUGUUGAGAGCGACCGGUCCAUACCAUGUAUGCGUAUCUGGCUUGCUCUCGGCAUCCUCUCGAUAGACGUUACUGCGCUUGAUUGCGUGGUGCGGAUCUCGGGACUUUUACUUUGAGGAAAUUAGAGUGUUCACGGCAGGCUUUCGCCAGAAUACACUAGCAUGGAAUAAUACUAUAGGAUCUUGGUUCUAUUUUGUUGGUUUCUAGAAUUGAGAUAAUGAUUAAUAGGGACAAUUGGGGGCAUUCGUAUCAACACGUCAGAGGUGGAAUUCUUGGAUUGUGUUGCGACGAACUACUGCGAAAGCAUUUGCCAAGGAUGUUUUCAUUGA